UUUUAUUUUCUCUUGCUGUUGCCAUGUAAGAAGUGCUUUUCGCCUCCUGCCGUGAUUCUGAGGCCUGCCCAGCCAUGUGGAACUCUGCCAAAUAUCCCACCAUAUGAACAGACUAAAAUCUGUCCCUCCAUUGAUGAAUGUUUGGAUUGCUGAACCCCUGGAAGAAAUUCAAUAAGAGCAAACAGAAGUGUAAUAUAUGACACCCUGGCAGAUCAAAGUGAGAGUUUUAUUAGAGGAGACAGUAAAGCUGGUGGAGCGGGGAGAGCUAAGUGAAUCAACAUGUUGCAGUCGGAGCCAGGACUCAUACCACCCCAAGAGGCAGGAG
RNAcentral lists this long non-coding RNA (325 nucleotides) under Homo sapiens (human). RNAcentral's name for it is "LNC_000100". The record is from RNAcentral. Lineage: Eukaryota; Metazoa; Chordata; Mammalia; Primates; Hominidae.